CUCUUCCUCUCAUUGGGAAGAACUUUUCUUUUCCAAUUUUCUACUAUAAAAUCAGCAAGAGAGCCUCUCUUUGAUGCCUUAGAAUCAACAGCAAACUCUUACAAAAAUCCUUCAAAAGGAGUUGGAGGAGAGGCUUAGGCGUGCAUGUGGGAUUUGGGGCCUCCAACUCUUGGACACCCCCUCCUUUUUUACUUUUGGGCAACAAGAAGAGAGGGAAGAGGGGUGCCUUCUUUUUCUCACAA
This 242-nucleotide long non-coding RNA is filed under the name Elaeis guineensis (African oil palm). RNAcentral describes it as "long non-coding RNA (EGUI_LNC079821)". Lineage: Eukaryota; Viridiplantae; Streptophyta; Magnoliopsida; Arecales; Arecaceae. The record is from RNAcentral.